AUACGGAGGGUGCAAGCGUUGUUCGGAAUCACUGGGCGUAAAGGGCGCGCAGGCGGUCUGGUAAGUCAGAUGUGAAAGCCCACGGCUCAACCGUGGAAGUGCAUUUGAAACUGCCAGACUUGAGUACCAGAGGGGAAAGUGGAAUUCCCGGUGUAGAGGUGAAAUUCGUAGAUAUCGGGAGGAAUACCGGUGGCGAAGGCGACUUUCUGGCUGGAUACUGACGCUGAGGCGCGAAAGCGUGGGGAGCAAACAGGAUUAGAAACCCUAGUAGUCC
This 274-nucleotide ribosomal RNA is filed under the name uncultured bacterium. RNAcentral's name for it is "partial 16S ribosomal RNA". It matches the Rfam family "Bacterial small subunit ribosomal RNA", at positions 523 to 796 of the family's 1533-position model. The record is from RNAcentral.